RNAcentral lists this non-coding RNA (29 nucleotides) under Mus musculus (house mouse). Lineage: Eukaryota; Metazoa; Chordata; Mammalia; Rodentia; Muridae. The record is from RNAcentral.
UAACAGUUGUCACUGUGGUCCAUUUGAAA